Molecule: ribosomal RNA, 322 nt
Filed under: Enterococcus faecalis
Lineage: Bacteria; Bacillati; Bacillota; Bacilli; Lactobacillales; Enterococcaceae
Description: partial 23S ribosomal RNA
Rfam family: Bacterial large subunit ribosomal RNA
Source: RNAcentral
GCGGCCACCAUUUAAAGAGUGCGUAAUAGCUCACUGGUCGAGUGACUCUGCGCCGAAAAUGUACCGGGGCUAAACGUAUCACCGAAGCUGCGGACUGUUCUUCGAACAGUGGUAGGAGAGCGUUCUAAGGGCUGUGAAGCCAGACCGGAAGGACUGGUGGAGCGCUUAGAAGUGAGAAUGCCGGUAUGAGUAGCGAAAGAGGGGUGAGAAUCCCCUCCACCGAAUGCCUAAGGUUUCCUGAGGAAGGCUCGUCCGCUCAGGGUUAGUCGGGACCUAAGCCGAGGCCGAAAGGCGUAGGCGAUGGACAACAGGUUGAUAUUCC